UGGGGAAUUUUGGACAAUGGGCGAAAGCCUGAUCCAGCAAUGCCGCGUGUGUGAAGAAGGCCUUCGGGUUGUAAAGCACUUUUGUCCGGAAAGAAAUCCUCUGGGUUAAUACCUCGGGGGGAUGACGGUACCGGAAGAAUAAGCACCGGCUAACUACGUGCCAGCAGCCGCGGUAAUACGUAGGGUGCAAGCGUUAAUCGGAAUUACUGGGCGUAAAGCGUGCGCAGGCGGUUUUGUAAGACGGAUGUGAAAUCCCCGGGCUUAACCUGGGAACUGCAUUCGUGACUGCAAGGCUAGAGUAUGGCAGAGGGGGGUAGAAUUCCACGUGUAGCAGUGAAAUGCGUAGAGAUGUGGAGGAAUACCGAUGGCGAAGGCAGCCCCCUGGGCCAAUACUGACGCUCAUGCACGAAAGCGUGGGGGAGCAAACAGGAUUAGAUACCCCUGGUAGUCCACGCCCUAAACGAUGUCAACUAGUUGUUGGGGAUUCAUUUCCUUAGUAACGUAGCUAACGCGUGAAGUUGACCGCCUGGGGGAGUACGGUCGCAAGAUUAAAACUCAAA
Molecule: ribosomal RNA, 560 nt
Filed under: uncultured bacterium
Lineage: Bacteria
Description: partial 16S ribosomal RNA
Rfam family: Bacterial small subunit ribosomal RNA
Source: RNAcentral